This 1444-nucleotide ribosomal RNA is filed under the name uncultured bacterium. RNAcentral's name for it is "16S ribosomal RNA". It matches the Rfam family "Bacterial small subunit ribosomal RNA". The record is from RNAcentral.
GUUUGAUUAUGGCUCAGGAUGAACGCUAGCGGCAGGCUUAACACAUGCAAGUCGAGGGGCAGCGGGGAGUAGCAAUACUCUGCCGGCGACCGGCGAAAGGGUGCGUAACGCGUGAGCGACAUACCCGUGACUGGGGCAUAACCGAUGGAAACGUUGACUAAUUCCCCAUAACACAUCGUGCUGCAUGGCAUGGUGUUGAAAAUUUCGAUGGUCACGGAUUGGCUCGCGCCUGAUUAGCUAGUUGGUGGGGUAACGGCUCACCAAGGCGACGAUCAGUAGGGGUUCUGAGAGGAAGGUCCCCCACAAUGGAACUGAGACACGGUCCAUACUCCUACGGGAGGCAGCAGUGAGGAAUAUUGGUCAAUGGGCGGAAGCCUGAACCAGCCAUGCCGCGUGCAGGAUGACGGCCCUAUGGGUUGUAAACUGCUUUUGCUGUGGAGCAAUAAGGGUCACGUGCUGACCCGAUGAGAGUACACAGCGAAUAAGCAUCGGCUAACUCCGUGCCAGCAGCCGCGGUAAUACGGAGGAUGCGAGCGUUAUCCGGAUUUAUUGGGUUUAAAGGGUGCGUAGGCUGUGCGGUAAGUCAGAGGUGAAAGGUCCGCGCUCAACGCGGGAACUGCCUUUGAUACUGUCGUGCUGGAGUGCGGAUGCCGUUGGAGGAAUGAGUGGUGUAGCGGUGAAAUGCAUAGAUAUCACUCAGAACACCGAUUGCGAAGGCAUCUGACGAAUCCGUAACUGACGCUGAGGCACGAAAGCGUGGGGAUAGAACAGGAUUAGAUACCCUGGUAUUCCACGCUGUAAACGAUGAUGGCUAACCGCUGGCGAUAGAGUGUCAGUGGCCAAGCGAAAGCGAUAAGCCAUCCACCUGGGGAGUACGUCGGCAACGAUGAAACUCAAAGGAAUUGACGGGGGCCCGCACAAGCGGAGGAACAUGUGGUUUAAUUCGAUGAUACGCGAGGAACCUUACCCGGGCUCGAACGGCAGGGGAAUGGACCAGAGAUGGUCCAGUCUUCGGACUCCUGUCGAGGUGCUGCAUGGUUGUCGUCAGCUCGUGCCGUGAGGUGUCGGCUCAAGUGCCAUAACGAGCGCAACCCUUGUCACUAGUUACCAACAGUUCGGCUGGGGACUCUAGUGAGACUGCCACCGCAAGGUGUGAGGAGGGGGGGGAUGACGUCAAAUCAGCACGGCCCUUACGUCCGGGGCGACACACGUGUUACAAUGGCGGCCACAGAGGGAAGCUACCUGGUGACAGGAUGCGGAUCUCGAAAAGCCGUCUCAGUUCGGACUGGAGUCUGCAACCCGACUCCACGAAGUUGGAUUCGCUAGUAAUCGCGCAUCAGCCAUGGCGCGGUGAAUACGUUCCCGGGCCUUGUACACACCGCCCGUCAAGCCAUGGAAGCCGUGGGCGCCUGAAGUCCGUGACCGAGAGGAGCGGCCUAAGGCG